AGCUAGUUGCUGGGUAAAGGGCCUACCAAGGCGACGAUCGGUAGCUGGUCUGAGAGGAUGAUCAGCCACACUGGGACUGAGACACCGGCCCAGACUCCUACGGGAGGCAGCAGUGGGGAAUAUUGGACAAUGGGGGCAACCCUGAUCCAGCAAUGCCGCGUGUGUGAAGAAGGCCUGAGGGUUGUAAAGCACUUUCAGUGGGGAGGAGGUUAUAUUUGUUAAUAGCAGAGAUAAUGGACGUUACCCACAGAAGAAGCACCGGCUAACUCCGUGCCAGCAGCCGCGGUAAUACGGAGGGUGCGAGCGUUAAUCGGAAUUACUGGGCGUAAAGGGUGCGUAGGUGGUUUAAUAAGUUAGUUGUGAAAGACCGGGGCUUAACCUUGGGGUGUCAACUAAGACUGUUAGACUCGAGUAUGGGAGAGGGUAGUGGAAUUUCCGGUGUAGCGGUGAAAUGCGUAGAGAUCGGAAGGAACACCAGUGGCGAAGGCGGCUACCUGGCCUAAUACUGACACUGAGGCACGAAAGCGUGGGGAGCAAACAGGAUUAGAUACCCUGGUAGUCCACGCCGUAAACGAUG
RNAcentral lists this ribosomal RNA (577 nucleotides) under uncultured bacterium. RNAcentral describes it as "bacterial SSU rRNA". It matches the Rfam family "Bacterial small subunit ribosomal RNA", at positions 243 to 811 of the family's 1533-position model. The record is from RNAcentral.